GAGCACGAGGUCACCUUCUCGGAACACACGAGGCUUGACCUUCUUAUCGAAUGCUUUCUUCAUUCUCUGCUGAUAUAACUGACCAUGGCACAUGGCAGUUAAACGCUUCUCUUCAAUCAAAUUCAGUUGGUCGUAACGACUCUGAAUCCAUUCAGCAUCAGUCAACUAGGGACUUGAGGGUAUAAUUUUUCUUUUUUCUUUUGGA
This 205-nucleotide long non-coding RNA is filed under the name Lathyrus oleraceus (garden pea). RNAcentral describes it as "Pisum sativum (pea) long non-coding RNA (PSAT_LNC023211)". Lineage: Eukaryota; Viridiplantae; Streptophyta; Magnoliopsida; Fabales; Fabaceae. The record is from RNAcentral.